This 357-nucleotide unclassified non-coding RNA is filed under the name uncultured Glomeromycotina. Its description in RNAcentral is "sequence contains 28S rRNA gene". It matches the Rfam family "Eukaryotic large subunit ribosomal RNA", at positions 384 to 647 of the family's 3401-position model. The record is from RNAcentral. Lineage: Eukaryota; Fungi; Glomeromycota.
AGAGUUAAACAGUACGUGAAAUUGUUGAAAGGGAAACGAUUGAAGUCAGUCAUGCUUGCGUAGAAAUCAACUUGGUGGUUUACUUCCUUGUGUAUUUUCUCGCUAGCAGGUUAACAUCAAUUUUAGUUGUCAUCAAAUAAUUGGGGAAAUGUGACUUCUCUUCGGUGAAGUGUUUAUAGACCCUGAUAGAUGUGGUAACUGGGAUUGAGGAUUGCAGCGAAUGCUUUUUGGCUAGUCACCUGUCUUCUGACAGUUACCUCGCUUUUGACAGCUUGCUGAUGAUUGUGGGAUUUAACAGUUUAGAAGUUAGAGUGUACAUAAAUUCGCUAAGGAUGUUGACGUAAUGGCUUUAAACGA